Long non-coding RNA from Pogoniulus pusillus (Red-fronted tinkerbird), 1581 nucleotides. RefSeq lists it as uncharacterized. NCBI's taxonomy places the organism in Eukaryota, Metazoa, Chordata, Aves, Piciformes, Lybiidae. The transcript is spliced from 3 exons. The record is from RefSeq and is a predicted model, not a curated record.
GCAGGAGGAAGGAGAACCAGGGGCUGCUAACUGGGCAGCAGGACCAGCCUCCAUCUCCCCACAUGCUGGAGUCCUCAGUUCACUCAGGCAGAAGGCACAGCCCAGAACCAGGACCUCUCCAACACAUCCUUUGUGGUGCCUGCUGCAGCCACCGAAGCCCAGAGGAAACACUGAACCCAUUCCCAACUUCCUUGCUUCAAGCCCACCAAGGAAGGGAACCACAUCCUCUACAUAUUUCACCAGCCCAAGCACCUAACACACAGUGUGCUGGUUUGAGCCCAGCUGGGAUGUCCUGCUGAGAAGGAUUAGAUGCCAGGCUGUGAAAAGGACCCAGUGCUGGUGGCUGCUGCACUCAGAGCCUGGCUGAGAUGUGGAAGAACAUGAACACGAACAGAGGGCCAAACAAUCACCUAAGGAGCUGCGUCGGAGGGAGGGGAGGUGUUGCAAAGUGCCUGCUUUAUUAUCAGCUGAAUAUGGACCUGUAAUCUGCUAAUGAUAGAAAUCUGCCCCUUUGCUUUGCCUCUUAUCACUUAAUUGGAGCCAAGGAGCACAUUCAUUUGUUAAUAACUUUAUAAUUGGUGCUAUCUGCCCGGGUCCAUCACAGGAACUGCGAGCAACAACCACUCAGCUCCUCGAUCCAAGCCUCCCUUGGAUGUUUAAACACUGCCCUGCAGGUCUGCAGUGCAAAGGUGCCCGCAGAGGUGCCACAGCCUACCUCUAGCACCCGCAGCUGGCUGCUACCCCCCGGACCUCUGCGUGCCCCUCAGCUCCCAGCCCACGCAGGGACCUGUGUGCUGCUACCAGGAGAGCCUGCUGGCUUGUGCAGUCCCUUCUGCUCUGCUUUAAGCAGGCAGCCCAAUAUUUUGACAAGGCCAGGAUGUGUCUCUUCACACUUGUGCCUGCCUGAGGCUCCCAGCCCGGCUCACCUGAGGCAUCUCCUCUCUCGCUUCGCCAUCUGCUCACAAGCAGGGAGAAAGCAGAGGCAGCUGCAUCCAGGCAGGGUGUGAAGGCAAGCACAUGCCAAAGGGUUUGUUUCCCCCAGCAGUGAAGACACUGAGGAUGUUGCCUACACUGGCAGGCAAGGAAGAGCCAAGCCUGUUCUGAUGGUCCAGACCCACAGUGCUCACGCCAGGGCUUAGUCCCAUCGCUGGGCUCGCUGCUGGGGGGGGAGAUGCAGCUGAGUUCAUCACCUCUGUGCCAAGGCAGAUGCUGUGGAUUAGCCCCAAGUUGCCACAGCCCAGCUCAAGCAGGGCUGGCCUGUGCUUGGCAGCUCUUCCCCACAGCAUGGGCACCUUGGCUAUAAAUACAGCAGAGCAAAACAAACAGGCCACAGAUUGGUCUCUUGCCUGAGGGUAAAUAGCAGGGCUUGGCUGCUUGCCACACACAGUCACAGGCUGGUGGAGCUCAGGAGGGACCUCUGGAGAUAAUUUGGUCCAACCUCCCUUUGCUGAAGCAGGUUCACCUAGAACUGAACUCUCUUUUCUUCCCCUCCCAUCACUGCUGCAGGCAGAGUGCCUGUUGGGAUAAGUCCCUGCACCCUGCCCAGGUGUCUUGCAGGAUGGGAGAGUUGGGACUGGCCAA